UACGGAGGAUGCAAGCGUUAUCCGGAAUGAUUGGGCGUAAAGGGUCCGCAGGUGGUACUGUAAGUCUGCUGUUAAAGAGCAAGGCUCAACCUUGUAAAAGCGGUGGAAACUACAGAACUAGAGUGCGUUCGGGGCAGAAGGAAUUCCUGGUGUAGCGGUGAAAUGCGUAGAUAUCAGGAAGAACACCGGUGGCGAAAGCGUUCUGCUAGGCCGCAACUGACACUGAGGGACGAAAGCUAGGGGAGCGAAUGGG
Molecule: ribosomal RNA, 253 nt
Filed under: uncultured bacterium
Lineage: Bacteria
Description: partial 16S ribosomal RNA
Rfam family: Bacterial small subunit ribosomal RNA
Source: RNAcentral